Molecule: ribosomal RNA, 274 nt
Filed under: uncultured bacterium
Lineage: Bacteria
Description: partial 16S ribosomal RNA
Rfam family: Bacterial small subunit ribosomal RNA
Source: RNAcentral
AUACGGAGGGUGCGAGCGUUAAUCGGAAUUACUGGGCGUAAAGCGUACGUAGGCGGUUGGUUAAGUUAGAUGUGAAAGCCCCGGGCUUAACCUGGGAACUGCAUUUAAAACUGGCGAACUAGAGUCGAGUAGAGGGGAGUGGAAUUUCAGGUGUAGCGGUGAAAUGCGUAGAGAUCUGAAGGAACACCAGUGGCGAAGGCGACUCCCUGGACUCGAACUGACGCUGAGGUACGAAAGCGUGGGUAGCAAACGGGAUUAGAAACCCUAGUAGUCC